This 452-nucleotide unclassified non-coding RNA is filed under the name Hevea brasiliensis (rubber tree). The record is from RNAcentral. Lineage: Eukaryota; Viridiplantae; Streptophyta; Magnoliopsida; Malpighiales; Euphorbiaceae.
GAUUAGCGUUAUGGAUCAUAUCAAAUAUAGAACAGAGAGAUUUAAUGACAGUUGGUGCUUCAAACAAACAAGCUAGCACAAGAAAUGCAUUUAAGAAAUUACUGCUGAACAAAACUAGAUUACAGCUAUAACUAUAAAAGGAAGCUGAGACAUGUAAAAUUAAGAUGUCUUCAAGCAACAGAAACAAUGUCAUUUGUGUAGAAAUUCUUCUUAGAAUCACAUAAUUAAUGAAUUGUAUGUUUUAUAUAGAUCUGACCAUGCUUUGGAUUUAUUACAUUAUGUCCAAUUCAAUAUACCAAAUAAAAACAAUGACAGCCUGCUUAAAGACUAUAAUUUCUUAUUGAAAUAUUAAAUGAACAAUGUUGAGACAGAUCAACUCAAACCAGCUUUAUAGCAUGAGCCCAACAAUUAUAUAUCUGAAUAUUGCAGUUUAUAGUGCCAAGGCACAUAUA